AGCUUUUUGCACAGUGACAAUAUCAUAGGCAAUGAGCUUUAUCUGAGGCACAAUUAUUGCUAACUGAAAACUUUUUCCAAUACCCUGCUAUGACAACUUAAAAUAUAGUUGGUGUGACAGUAUUAACUGUGGAUGUGACACA
This 142-nucleotide small nuclear RNA is filed under the name Nannospalax galili (Upper Galilee mountains blind mole rat). Its description in RNAcentral is "U4 spliceosomal RNA (ENSNGAG00000005865.1)". The stretch from base 3 to 129 matches the Rfam family "U4 spliceosomal RNA". From Rfam's summary of the family: U4 small nuclear RNA (U4 snRNA) is a component of the major U2-dependent spliceosome. The structure of U4 snRNA from yeast and human has been reported. Lineage: Eukaryota; Metazoa; Chordata; Mammalia; Rodentia; Spalacidae. The record is from RNAcentral.